Eptesicus fuscus (big brown bat) is the source of this 561-nucleotide long non-coding RNA. RefSeq lists it as uncharacterized. The transcript has 3 exons. Lineage: Eukaryota; Metazoa; Chordata; Mammalia; Chiroptera; Vespertilionidae. The record is from RefSeq and is a predicted model, not a curated record.
GCCAGGCCCUGCAGAGAGCUACUGGCACACAGAUUCGUGCACAGGGCUACUAGUUAGUAAUAAUAUCUGGUAUCAGAAAUUGAUGAUCAGGAUCCUGUUGUGAGGAUGAGGAAAGGAGCUAAGAAGCAUGGAGAGAGAAAACGGUCUCCUGUACAUUGAGGGGCUUUAAUCACUUCUCUAUAGAAUACAAAUUCAGAAGAACUCAUCAAUAACCCAUGGGGCUACCAUCCAUGUCAUCUAUUUAGUGUCUCUGGAGGCCCUCCGAUUACAGCCUGAUAGCUCUGCAGGCCUUGGCAAUGCUGGGGACAGAAAGAGGCAAAAGGACAAGGUCAAGAGUGUUUUAACAGCACAAAGAAAUUCACCAACCCAACAGCAUCGUGGAGAUGAGGCCUGCAAGCAGGCUGGGACAUGAUGGAUUCCAGGAGCUUGGGAGGGAGCACGUGAUGAUGGAAGCACAGCUGGAAAAGAGAGCCAAAGGCGAGGCAACUUCAGCCUCAGGACGACAAGUCCUUGCCCACCUUCACCCCCUGUCCUGAUGUUUCUUAGUCUACUUACAUUUAA